AAGGGACGUCCCGCUCAUCAGCCCGAUCGCCUUCAGCAAGGGCCUCUCCCUCGGGCAGAAAUGCCCUCAUUUGCGCGCAUUCCGAUCCCAACCGCUUGGUUGAAUCCGACGCCGGACCUGAUACACCACAGGCCCAAAUAAACGCUAAAUAUCUGAAUCGUUAAAGAGUGCCGCCAUGAGCGCCUACAAGUCCGAUUUCCUCAACGUCCUUCAGAGCCGGGGCUUCAUCCAUCAGAUCUCGGAUGCCGCCGGACUCGAUGCACUUGCAGCCAAGGGCGAUGUGACGGCCUACAUCGGAUACGACUGCACGGCAUCGUCCCUGCACGUCGGGCACCUGCUUUCGAUCAUGAUGCUGCACUGGCUUCAGCAAACCGGCAACAAG
Molecule: unclassified non-coding RNA, 382 nt
Filed under: Hevea brasiliensis (rubber tree)
Lineage: Eukaryota; Viridiplantae; Streptophyta; Magnoliopsida; Malpighiales; Euphorbiaceae
Source: RNAcentral